Molecule: ribosomal RNA, 441 nt
Filed under: uncultured bacterium
Lineage: Bacteria
Description: bacterial SSU rRNA
Rfam family: Bacterial small subunit ribosomal RNA
Source: RNAcentral
GAUGAACGCUGGCGGCGUGCCUAAUACAUGCAAGUCGAGCGGUAAGGCCACUUCGGUGGUACACGAGCGGCGGACGGCUGAGUAACACGUAGGAACGUACCCCAAACUGAGGGAUAAGCACCAGAAAUGGUGUCUAAUACCGCAUGUGCUCUUCGGAGUAAAGCUACGGCGGUUUGGGAACGGCCUGCGCAUGAUUAGCUUGUUGGUGAGGUAAUGGCUCACCAAGGCGACGAUCAUUAGCUGGUCUGAGAGGAUGAUCAGCCAGACUGGGACUGAGAACGGCCCAGACUCCUACGGGAGGCAGCAGUAGGGAAUUUUCCACAAUGGACGAAAGUCUGAUGGAGCAACGCCGCGUGCAGGAUGAAGGCUUUCGGGUCGUAAACUGCUUUAUCUGUGAAGAUUAUGACGGUAGCAGAUGAAUAAGGAUCGGCUAACUCCGUG